GUAAAGCACUUUCAGUAGGGAGGAAGGUAGUGUAGUUAACACCUGCAUUAUUUGACGUUACCUACAGAAGAAGCACCGGCUAACUCCGUGCCAGCAGCCGCGGUAAUACGGAGGGUGCGAGCGUUAAUCGGAAUUACUGGGACGUAAAGCGCAUGCAGGCGGCCUGUUAAGUACAGAUGUGAAAGGCCCGGGGACCGUUAACCUACGGUAAGUUGCUAUUUAGUAAACGUGGCGAGGCUAGAGUCUUGUAGAGGGGGGUAGGAAUUUCAGGUGUAGCGGUGAAAUGCGUAGAGAUCUGAAGGAAUACCAGUGGCGAAGGCGGCCCCCUGGACAAAGACUGACGCUCAGAUGCGAAAGCGUGGGGAGCAAACAGGAUUAGAUACCCUGGUAG
RNAcentral lists this ribosomal RNA (391 nucleotides) under uncultured bacterium. RNAcentral's name for it is "bacterial SSU rRNA". It matches the Rfam family "Bacterial small subunit ribosomal RNA", at positions 425 to 793 of the family's 1533-position model. The record is from RNAcentral.